UGUUACCUCCAGGUUUCGAACCUGGGACCUUCGGCGUGUUACGCGGAUGUGAUAACCACUACACCAUGACAAC
RNAcentral lists this transfer RNA (73 nucleotides) under Araneus ventricosus. Its description in RNAcentral is "tRNA-Val". The record is from RNAcentral. Lineage: Eukaryota; Metazoa; Arthropoda; Arachnida; Araneae; Araneidae.